GCCCUCCCGGGCCGCGCACGCGCGCUGGGCCCCGCGGGCCGCGCGUCCCGGAGCGGCGACGCCAGCCUCUCACCGCGGCCCCACACCCUUAUCCGCCAGCUGCUCUGAAGCAGUGGCCUGGACGCCGCUGCUCUGGGCGCGGGGAAUGGUAAAGCUGGCGGUUUCGUCCCUAGAAAGGAACCCGGAGCUGGGGAGGGCUCCGACUUCAGCGCGAGCCCUGUGACCCGGGGUGGCUGGGCUCCUCGGGCCGCAGUUUCCCUGUGGUGGAGAUCCCAGUAUCCCCGUCGGAAGGCUGCGCCCAGCAGCGGAGGCAGUGGGUGCACGCCCUGUGCACACCGUGCCUGGGCUAUCACUGUGGCGUCGGUGUGCACACGACACAGGCGCAGGGUGCCGUGGCACACAUCUGUAAUCCUAUCACUCAGGAGGCAGAUGCAGGAGGAUCACAAGUUUGAGACCAGACUUCGUCUGCAUAGCAAGUCGAAUGCCUGCCUGCCUGGACCACAUAUUUCCAGAGCCAGGAUUUAAGAGAUUAGCAGUUUCCAGUGCUGGCACCUGAGAUGCUCACUCUUGGAACUCUCCAUCAUGCUCUCCGGAAGCCCAAACGGCCCUUGAAGAGGACCACAUGGAGAGGCCUGUGUCCUCCAUCCCAGCUGAAUGCUCGGCUUCAGUCAUCCCCAGAGUACAGCACUGUCUGCAGCCCCUGCGAAGGAGAAGCUGUCUGGUGCCAUUAGCGUCCCUGAAGAGCAGUGUUUUGCAUGUCUGCUCUACAUCACCGCCCUUCCUCCAAGACCCGACCCAGUGACUGAGGAUGCUGGCCUCACCGUGCCUUCCACCAUGGCCAUGCUGUGUGUGGACAAUCUGGGCUCCUCUUUCUCGGUCUCCCCCGGGGUCACUCGUGUGACUGUGGUACCCAGCUCUGGAGGGUCCGAGGUGGUGUCCUCACGUGUUCCACAGUCAGUGCUGGCUCUCUCUCUCUUCUGUGUCUUUCUUACAAAAGAAAAAGGAAUCAUAUGGUUUAUGGAAGAAAAUUUAGAAAUGCUGUCAAAACAAGGGAAAGAAAAUAGCACUCACCUAUAAUGCCAGCACCUCAGAAUAACCAUUGUUGGUAUUUAGACAUAUAUAUCUAUCCAGCCUUACUCUAAAAUAUUGGUAACAAUGUGUAGUCUACAAAAAUGCAUAUUAUUGAUUACUUCUUUUUUUUUUUUUUUUUUUUUUUGCAGAACCAGGGAUCAAACUCAGGACCUUGUGCUUGCCAGGCAGGCAUGGCACCACUGAGCUACAUCCCUGGCCCUACUUUUUUGUUUUGUGACACAGGGUCUUGCUAUGUAGUUCAGGCUAGCCUUGAACUUGCAGUACUAUGUAGUCUAGGGUGGCCUCGAACUCAUGGUGAUCCCUGCCUCAGCCUCCCAAGAGCUGGGAUUACAGGUGUGUGCCACUAUGCCAGGCAUUGAUUAUUUUCUUGAUAGGCACUGUGCUGUAUCCUCUGCAUAGAUUAUUUCAUUUAAUACUCACUGCACUCCUACAGAACAGAUACUAUUACUAUUACUAUUACUAUUACUAUUACUGUCUUUAGGGAAGGAAAAAUUGAUGCUUAGCGACCUUAUACAUACAUAUAUACUGUCUUGUAACUCCUUUUUUCAUAUAACAUCAUGCAUAAUUCCUCACUUGAUUGCUUUUGAACAGGCUGGAUCAAAAUAAAAAAGUAACAAAGACUUUACAUAAAAAUAAUGUGGGUUUUUUUACAAGGGAGUAAUACUCAGCCACAAAGAAACACAAACUUGAGACAUUUCUAGGUUAAUGGAUGCACCUUGAGACCAUAGUCUUAAGUGAAAUAAAUCAGACACACAUGUAAAUAUCACAUUGUCUCUCUGGUGUGAGAAGCUGAAAGGGUAAAUAAGGACCAAAAUGUAUAGUAGAUAAUGGGAAAUUGUUCAAAAGGAAAGGGAAACUGAAAGUUGGAAGGGGGAAAAGGAAGGGAAAAGAAAAAAAAUGGAAACAAAGCUUUUGUAAAUGAGGAGGGGAGGGGAUUGGGAGAAAAAGAGGAAUCAAGGUAUACCAUAAACAGGUACAAAUUCCCCUUAAUGAAUGUGAUCGUUAUGUAUAUUCAAAUUGUGCCAAUAAAAUCAAUUUUAAAAAACAAUGACUUUACAAUAUUUGGAUCUCUGAUUUCUGGCCAAAUUUGCUUCUUGAGCCUGUCAGGUGAUUGCAGAUUAGAACAAAAUAAUGAUGCAUGCCCUUCACUGCAAAGUACUAGCUUUGACAUUUCAAUCUUUUGUAAGAGCUUCAAGG
Heterocephalus glaber (naked mole-rat) is the source of this 2289-nucleotide long non-coding RNA. The record is from Ensembl. Lineage: Eukaryota; Metazoa; Chordata; Mammalia; Rodentia; Bathyergidae.